CCACGCCGUAAACGAUGAGUGCUAGGUGUCGGGAGUCAAAUCUCGGUGCCGCAGUUAACGCAAUAAGCACUCCGCCUGGGGAGUACGUACGCAAGUAUGAAACUCAAAGGAAUUGACGGGGACCCGCACAAGCAGCGGAGCAUGUGGUUUAAUUCGAUGCAACGCGAAGAACCUUACCAGGGCUUGACAUAUGGGUGAAAAGUAUAGAGAUAUACUCCUCUCUUUUAGAGACAUCCAUACAGGUGGUGCAUGGUUGU
RNAcentral lists this ribosomal RNA (257 nucleotides) under uncultured bacterium. Its description in RNAcentral is "partial 16S ribosomal RNA". It matches the Rfam family "Bacterial small subunit ribosomal RNA", at positions 795 to 1052 of the family's 1533-position model. The record is from RNAcentral.